CCUAAUACAUGCAGUCGAGCGGACAGAUGGGAGCUUGCUCCCUGAUGUUAGCGGCGGACGGGUGAGUAACACGUGGGUAACCUGCCUGUAAGACUGGGAUAACUCCGGGAAACCGGGGCUAAUACCGGAUGCUUGAUUGAACCGCAUGGUUCAAUUAUAAAAGGUGGCUUUUAGCUACCACUUACAGAUGGACCCGCGGCGCAUUAGCUAGUUGGUGAGGUAACGGCUCACCAAGGCAACGAUGCGUAGCCGACCUGAGAGGGUGAUCGGCCACACUGGGACUGAGACACGGCCCAGACUCCUACGGGAGGCAGCAGUAGGGAAUCUUCCGCAAUGGACGAAAGUCUGACGGAGCAACGCCGCGUGAGUGAUGAAGGUUUUCGGAUCGUAAAACUCUGUUGUUAGGGAAGAACAAGUACCGUUCGAAUAGGGCGGUACCUUGACGGUACCUAACCAGAAAGCCACGGCUAACUACGUGCCAGCAGCCGCGGUAAUACGUAGGUGGCAAGCGUUGUCCGGAAUUAUUGGGCGUAAAGCGCGCGCAGGCGGUUUCUUAAGUCUGAUGUGAAAGCCCCCGGCUCAACCGGGGAGGGUCAUUGGAAACUGGGGAACUUGAGUGCAGAAGAGGAGAGUGGAAUUCCACGUGUAGCGGUGAAAUGCGUAGAGAUGUGGAGGAACACCAGUGGCGAAGGCGACUCUCUGGUCUGUAACUGACGCUGAGGCGCGAAAGCGUGGGGAGCGAACAGGAUUAGAUACCCUGGUAGUCCACGCCGUAAACGAUGAGUGCUAAGUGUUAGAGGGUUUCCGCCCUUUAGUGCUGCAGCAAACGCAUUAAGCACUCCGCCUGGGGAGUACGGUCGCAAGACUGAAACUCAAAGGAAUUGACGGGGGCCCGCACAAGCGGUGGAGCAUGUGGUUUAAUUCGAAGCAACGCGAAGAACCUUACCAGGGUCUUGACAUCCUCUGACAACCCCUAGAAGAUAGGGCUUCCCCUUUCGGGGGCAGAGUGAACAGGUGGUGCAUGGUUGUCGUCAGCUCGUGUCGUGGAAUGUUGGGUUAAGUCCCGCAACGAGCGCACCCUUGAUCUUAGUUGCCAGCAUUCAGUUGGGCACUCUAAGGUGACUGCCGGUGACAAACCGGAGGAAAGGUGGGG
Molecule: ribosomal RNA, 1153 nt
Filed under: Bacillus sp. (in: firmicutes)
Lineage: Bacteria; Bacillati; Bacillota; Bacilli; Caryophanales; Bacillaceae
Description: bacterial SSU rRNA
Rfam family: Bacterial small subunit ribosomal RNA
Source: RNAcentral